CCUACGGGUGGCAGCAGUGAGGAAUAUUGGUCAAUGGGCGUAAGCCUGAACCAGCCAAGUCGCGUGAGGGAUGAAGGUUCUAUGGAUCGUAAACCUCUUUUAUAAGGGAAUAAAGUGCGGGACGUGUCCCGUUUUGUAUGUACCUUAUGAAUAAGGAUCGGCUAACUCCGUGCCAGCAGCCGCGGUAAUACGGAGGAUCCGAGCGUUAUCCGGAUUUAUUGGGUUUAAAGGGUGCGUAGGCGGCUUUUUAAGUCAGCGGUGAAAGUCUGUGGCUUAACCAUGGAAGUGCCGUUGAAACUGUGAGGCUUGAGAGUGUAUGCGGUAGGCGGAAUGUAUGGUGUAGCGGUGAAAUGCUUAGAGAUCACACAGAACCCCGAUUGCGAAGGCAGCCUGCCAAGCCAUGUCUGACGCUGAUGCACGAAAGCGUGGGGAGCAAACAGGAUUAGAUACCCGUGUAGUC
Molecule: ribosomal RNA, 460 nt
Filed under: uncultured bacterium
Lineage: Bacteria
Description: partial 16S ribosomal RNA
Rfam family: Bacterial small subunit ribosomal RNA
Source: RNAcentral